RNAcentral lists this ribosomal RNA (484 nucleotides) under uncultured bacterium. RNAcentral describes it as "partial 16S ribosomal RNA". It matches the Rfam family "Bacterial small subunit ribosomal RNA", at positions 30 to 507 of the family's 1533-position model. The record is from RNAcentral.
AUUGAACGCUGGCGGCAGGCCUAACACAUGCAAGUCGAGCGGAUGAAGGGAGCUUGCUCCUGGAUUCAGCGGCGGACGGGUGAGUAAUGCCUAGGAAUCUGCCUGGUAGUGGGGGAUAACGUCCGGAAACGGGCGCUAAUACCGCAUACGUCCUGAGGGAGAAAGUGGGGGAUCUUCGGACCUCACGCUAUCAGAUGAGCCUAGGUCGGCUUAGCUAGUUGGUGGGGUAAAGGCGUACCAAGGCGACGAUCCGUAACUGGUCUGAGAGGAUGAUCAGUCACACUGGAACUGAGACACGGUCCAGACUCCUACGGGAGGCAGCAGUGGGGAAUAUUGGACAAUGGGCGAAAGCCUGAUCCAGCCAUGCCGCGUGUGUGAAGAAGGUCUUCGGAUUGUAAAGCACUUUAAGUUGGGAGGAAGGGCAGUAAGUUAAUACCUUGCUGUUUUGACGUUACCAACAGAAUAAGCACCGGCUAACUUCGUG